CUUCGACUCGUGUUUGGAGGGGACAGCUAUAAUCGCUACAGGGAUGGAUAUGCUCUUCAUACUCCCUUAGCUUCACUGAGCUCUUGUAAGAGCUUGUUCCUGUUCCUGCUUCACUGUCAGAACAAAGAGAGGUUCACCCACAGGAACCUAGAGCCUUGUCGUAGGUCCAGGGUGGGUAGAUGGCGAGACCCCAACCAAGCUGCGGC
Molecule: non-coding RNA, 206 nt
Organism: Pelobates cultripes (western spadefoot toad)
Lineage: Eukaryota; Metazoa; Chordata; Amphibia; Anura; Pelobatidae
Source: the annotation of a GenBank genome assembly